UCCAGGCAUGUUUUCACUCUGCAGAUAUAAAAACAGUGAACAGACUCUUCUAUUGGCUCCAGUUAGACCAACAUUGAUGCUUCAUAUAUGUUUGAUUCUAUAUAUGCAAACUCAGUGAGCUUCAGCUAUAAAACAUCACAUCAGGCUGUCAGAGGAGUUCACAGCACGUCAGCUUCAACAUCAACCAUGUUCUCUGGAGCUCUGCUGCUGCUGUUGGCAGCUGGAUGUGUGAAGGGUGAAACGUUGACUCAGCCAGCCUCUGUGACUGUGCAGCCAGGUCAACGUCUUACCAUCACCUGUCAGGUCUCUUAUACUCUUAGCUACUACACAGCUUGGAUCAGACAGCCUGCAGGGAAAGGACUUGAGUGGAUCGGAAGCGGAGCUAUUGGAAACACAACAUACUACAAAGAUUCACUGAAGAACAAGUUCAGUAUCAGUUUAGACUCUUCCAGCAACACAGUGACUCUAAACGGACAGAACGUGCAGCCUGAAGACUCUGCUGUGUAUUACUGUGCCAGAGAGCCACAACAACACAAACCAUCAGUAGACCUGAACAAAAACCCCUCAGUGCCUGAACACUUGUAACAUGAAGCCACCAGAGGAGGAGCCCUCAGACCACUAAUGAUUUCAACACCAGCUCACUGUCACACUGAAGACAGAAACAGACCUAAAACC
Sebastes umbrosus (honeycomb rockfish) is the source of this 675-nucleotide non-coding RNA. The record is from the annotation of a RefSeq genome assembly. Lineage: Eukaryota; Metazoa; Chordata; Actinopteri; Perciformes; Sebastidae.